This 662-nucleotide unclassified non-coding RNA is filed under the name Hevea brasiliensis (rubber tree). The record is from RNAcentral. Lineage: Eukaryota; Viridiplantae; Streptophyta; Magnoliopsida; Malpighiales; Euphorbiaceae.
GUCUAACAAGGGUAGGUUAAUUUAGCACCAAUGACUAGUUUACAGCUAGCAACCGCUGAAGUUUGCGACGCAAACCCCCACCUGAUCCUAAGUGGUGAGCUCCGUGCCUUUCAUCCUGUUUUCCAAAUUUAUGGCCGACGACAGGUCUUCUCCGGACCAGUUGUCACUCUCAAGGUGUUCGAGGAUAAUGUCCUCGUGCGCGACUUCCUCGAGGAGAAAGGAGGUGGCCGUGUUUUGGUCGUCGAUGGAGGUGGAAGCAUGCGCUGUGCAAUACUAGGUGGCAAUCCCGUUCAGCAAGCACAAAACAAUGGAUGGGCUGGCAUAGUGGUAAAUGGUUGCAUAAGGGAUGUUGACGAGAUCAACGAUUGUGAUAUCGGUGUGAGAGCCCUGGCAUCGCAUCCAAUGAAAGCUAGUAAGAAGGGGAUUGGGGAGAAGCAUGUCCCGGUGAAUAUCGCUGGCACGAGGAUUUGCGAUGGUGAGUGGCUUUAUGCUGAUACUGAUGGGAUUCUCGUUUCACGAUCGGAGCUGUCUGUGUGACCCUCUGGGUGUAUGUUGGCUUUGUAUUCGUAUCGAUCGACCGAUCGAUGUCAUGCUCUAUUGACAUACAUAGCUUUUUGUUGUAUUUGUAUUGAGACUUUGUAAUGGUAUCAAUAAUGUUCCUU